UACGGAAGGGGCUAGCGUUGUUCGGAAUUACUGGGCGUAAAGCGUACGUAGGCGGCUUUGUAAGUUAGAGGUGAAAGCCCGGGGCUCAACCCCGGAAUUGCCUUUAAGACUGCAUCGCUUGAAUCGCGGAGAGGUGAGUGGAAUUCCGAGUGUAGAGGUGAAAUGCGUAGAUAUCGGGAGGAACACCAGUGGCGAAGGCGACUUCCUGGCCUGUUCUUGACGCUGAGGCGCGAAAGCUAGGGGAGCAAACGGG
This 253-nucleotide ribosomal RNA is filed under the name uncultured bacterium. RNAcentral describes it as "partial 16S ribosomal RNA". It matches the Rfam family "Bacterial small subunit ribosomal RNA", at positions 524 to 776 of the family's 1533-position model. The record is from RNAcentral.